RNAcentral lists this transfer RNA (76 nucleotides) under Anaeroplasmataceae bacterium. RNAcentral's name for it is "tRNA-Thr". It matches the Rfam family "tRNA". From Rfam's summary of the family: Transfer RNA (tRNA) molecules are approximately 80 nucleotides in length. Their secondary structure includes four short double-helical elements and three loops (D, anti-codon, and T loops). Further hydrogen bonds mediate the characteristic L-shaped molecular structure. tRNAs have two regions of fundamental functional importance: the anti-codon, which is responsible for specific mRNA codon recognition, and the 3' end, to which the tRNAs corresponding amino acid is attached (by aminoacyl-tRNA synthetases). tRNAs cope with the degeneracy of the genetic code in two manners: having more than one tRNA (with a specific anti-codon) for a particular amino acid; and 'wobble' base-pairing, i.e. permitting non-standard base-pairing at the 3rd anti-codon position. The record is from RNAcentral. Lineage: Bacteria; Bacillati; Mycoplasmatota; Mollicutes; Anaeroplasmatales; Anaeroplasmataceae.
GCCGAAAUAGCUCAGCUGGUAGAGCAAUUCCCUCGUAAAGAAUAGGUCGUAGGUUCGAGUCCUAUUUUCGGCACCA